GAAGAAGCACUGGCUAACUCUGUGCCAGCAGCCGCGGUAAUACAGAGAGUGCAAGCGUUAAUCGGAAUCACUGGGCGUAAAGCGCGCGUAGGUGGAUAUUUAAGUCGGAUGUGAAAGCCCUAGGCUUAACCUAGGAACUGCAUUCGAUACUGGAUAUCUCGAGUAUGGUAGAGGGAAGUGGAAUUUCCGGUGUAGCGGUGAAAUGCGUAGAUAUCGGAAAGAACACCAGUGGCGAAGGCGGCUUCCUGGACCAAUACUGACACUGAGGCGCGAAAGCGUGGGGAGCAAACAGGAUUAGAGACCCUGGUAGUCCACGCCGUCAACGAUGAGAACUAGCUGUUGGAGAGUUUGCUUUCUAGUAGCGAAGCUAACGCGUUAAGUUCUCCGCCUGGGGAGUACGGCCGCAAGGUUAAAACUCAAAGAAAUUGACGGGGGCCCGCACAAGCGGUGGAGCAUGUGGUUUAAUUCGAUGCA
Molecule: ribosomal RNA, 474 nt
Filed under: uncultured Coxiellaceae bacterium
Lineage: Bacteria; Pseudomonadati; Pseudomonadota; Gammaproteobacteria; Legionellales; Coxiellaceae
Description: bacterial SSU rRNA
Rfam family: Bacterial small subunit ribosomal RNA
Source: RNAcentral